CAAUGGUAGAGCCCCCUUUUAAAAAUUCUUUCUGCAAGCCCGAGCUUGCUGAGAAGGCAUUUCCUGCUUGUGGGAACAGUUCCUAAAAAAGUUGCUUUCAGUUUUGCUUUCAGAAAGCUUUUCUCCAAGGUUUUAGGCUCCAGGGGCACAGAAUCUACUCAAAACUCUCCUUGAUGGCAGGCUACCUAACAACUGCCUUCAACCACGUUGAUUUCAGGCGGGACUUUAUUAGGGGUCUGGACUUCUUUGGUGUUUUCAGCAUGAAAGGGACGAGGCUGAAGGUGGAAAUGCAGAUGGUUAAUCACCCGGGCCCAAGAAGUCCAGAGAGGAGGCAGGGAAGAGGAUGAGGCUGGAGGCUCCAACUUUACCCUUUGCUUUGGGUCCACCUUAUCCAGGUAACAGCCAGGGCGGCACUGCGAGUGCCACCGCGGGGGUGGGGGGGCUAAAGCCUGCGAUAAGAAAGCAGCGGGAGUCGCUGGGGACAUGUCCUGCCCUGCGCUGUCACUGGAAGAAGGAAUCCAGGCGGGGUCCAGCACCUGGCCACUGAUGGCUCUGCCAGGACAGCAGAGGGAAACGAGGGCGCCGGGCACAGGGGCUGAGGGCCUCCGGCUUUAAUGGCCCGGUGCCAGGAGGCAGGUCUGGCAGGGCUCCUGAGCUCCCGACCCUUGGCGGUGCCUCAGGGGCGCUCUUUCUUGGCGUCCUCACUCAGUUCCCGCCUUACUUUGGUCGAAGUGGGCCGGUGAGUUCCGGGAUGGAACUUAAGGGGGCACCUCCUUCUCCUGUUCAGUCCCCAAACUUCCCCUGCGGGCCCUGUCCCAAGGGUCCACAUCUUGGACGACAGGUUCUGUUAGACCAAAGACGCAAAGACCACCUACUCCAAUUGAAAUCAAAUUAAAGCAAGCUUAUAACUUCAACUAGCCAGGCUGCCUCUCCCAACCCCAAACCACAGGAACAAAAGACAGCCCUGCAGCUCUCCAGGAGUGCAACUUUAUAGCCCAGAAAGUUACACAAGGGGAGGUUUGAGAACUUACAGAUAACAAAACUCUGAUGAGCAUAACACAAAGGCUAGUUUAUUUUUUUGCUGGCCCCAACAUCAGAAUUUAUGAAGGUCAUAUUUAUGAAGGUCAUUAGAGCCUCAGGAGGAUCAUUAUCUGGCCAGGGAAGGCCAAGAUUUAUGAGGUCUCACCAAAGUUUCAGAGAGGGUUGUUAUCUGGUCAGGGAAAGUCAGGCAUGGGUGAGUCCAGGGGACCGGCAGGCAUUGCAAGCAAGUUUAGAAAUCGCAGUAAUUUAUAGUAAAGCCGAAUCUUUACUAUAAAUCUUAUAUAAUCUUAAGAGGGUAUUAGGCUGAGUUUAUCAGGCUCAAUUUACUUUCUUUAUCAUCCUGACUAGAUCAUCCUGACUGCCUCUAUUUUUCAAACACCUUUUGGGCUAUCUCUAGUAGUUCUGACCUGUUCUUCCUUGCAGAGCCAUUUAUAUUUUGAAUCUUUUUAUGGAUGUCUGGGGCUGACUGAGUUACAAAAGCCAGGUUAAUCGCCUUCAGGUUUGUCGGGUCCUCAGGGUCUAUAGGGAUAUAUAGACGGUAUGCCUCUAGGAGCCGUUAGAGAAAUGCUGAAGGCGACUGUCUGGGCUUUAUUUUACCUCUGCUACUUUAGAAAGAUUGGUGGGCUUGCAAGCUGCACUCUUAAGACCCUCUAACAGAGCCUGGUGUAUUCUCUGAGUGUUCUCCUACCUUCAGCUGUUCCAUAGUCCCAGUCUGGUCUCCUUUGAGGUAAAGCAAGGUCGAUCACUUGUGUUUUCUCAUCACUUUAAGAGAGCCUAUUCCAGGCAGCGCUUUAGCUGCUUCUGCCAGGAUUCGCUCCCUUUCCUCUGUAGUGAAGAGGGUGGAGAGUCUGUGGCAGUCCUCCCAGGUAGGGAGGUGAUUAAAGAAGAAAGAAUCCACCAGCGAAAUCAGGGAACUAGGAUCCCACACUAAAUGAGGGAUUCUGGUUUUUCCAGUUGUAAAGAUCCAUCAAGGAAAAUGGAACAUACAUAUAGCAACCUUCUGGAACCUGGCGGAGAGGAAGGACAAAGGCAGGAGUUGCCUCUACUUCUGGGAUAGAAAUAGAAAUGGAGCCCACAGGUAGACCAGGGGAAGGAAUUGAGUCAGAUCUUACAUAAGGGUGACCCUGUCAGGUAUGGGGAGGAGAAAGAACAGAGGCUGGUUCUUUGGAGAAGGUGGAGUGGAAGAAGUGGUGGAAUGAGGUGUUUGUGAAAGU
Molecule: long non-coding RNA, 2255 nt
Filed under: Marmota monax (woodchuck)
Lineage: Eukaryota; Metazoa; Chordata; Mammalia; Rodentia; Sciuridae
Source: RNAcentral